This 254-nucleotide ribosomal RNA is filed under the name uncultured bacterium. RNAcentral's name for it is "partial 16S ribosomal RNA". It matches the Rfam family "Bacterial small subunit ribosomal RNA", at positions 524 to 776 of the family's 1533-position model. The record is from RNAcentral.
UACGUAGGGUGCGAGCGUUAAUCGGAAUUACUGGGCGUAAAGCGUGCGCAGGCGGUUUGUUAAGACAGAUGUGAAAUCCCCGGGCUUAACCUGGGAACUGCAUUUGUGACUGGCAAGCUAGAGUAUGGCAGAGGGGGGGUAGAAUUCCACGUGUAGCAGUGAAAUGCGUAGAGAUGUGGAGGAACACCGAUGGCGAAGGCAGCCCCCUGGGUUAACACUGACGCUCAGGCACGAAAGCGUGGGGAGCAAACAGG